UACGGAGGGUGCGAGCGUUGUCCGGAAUCACUGGGCGUAAAGGGCGCGUAGGCGGCCUGGCAAGUCGGUGGUGAAAGCCCGUGGCUCAACUACGGGUCGGCCACCGAUACUGCUAUGGCUCGAGUUUGGUAGAGGCAGAUGGAAUUCCGGGUGUAGCGGUGGAAUGCGUAGAGAUCCGGGAAGAACACCGGUGGCGAAGGCGGUCUGCUGGGCCAAGACUGACGCUGAGGCGCGACAGCGUGGGGAGCAAACAGG
Molecule: ribosomal RNA, 255 nt
Filed under: uncultured bacterium
Lineage: Bacteria
Description: partial 16S ribosomal RNA
Rfam family: Bacterial small subunit ribosomal RNA
Source: RNAcentral